AACAAGGCCCCCUUGAGGGGGCCU
This 24-nucleotide small RNA is filed under the name Paenibacillus sp. P22. Lineage: Bacteria; Bacillati; Bacillota; Bacilli; Caryophanales; Paenibacillaceae. The record is from RNAcentral.